Molecule: ribosomal RNA, 471 nt
Filed under: uncultured bacterium
Lineage: Bacteria
Description: SSU rRNA
Rfam family: Bacterial small subunit ribosomal RNA
Source: RNAcentral
AGAAUGAACGUUGGCGGCGUGGAUUAGGCAUGCAAGUCGUACGGGCCGCAAGGCCAGUGGCGCAAGGGUGAGUAAGGCGACGGUAACCAACCCCGCGAUUGGGUAUAGCCGCGGGAAACUGCGGGUAAUCCCCAGCGACGUCAUCGGAGGGCAUCCUCCGGUGACCAAAGCUCAGGCGUCGCGGGACGGGCUGUCGUGGUAUUAGCUUGUUGGCGGGGUAACGGCCCACCAAGGCUGUGAUGCCUACCGGGCGUGCGAGCGUGGCCCGGCACACUGGGACUGAGACACUGCCCAGACUCCUACGGGAGGCUGCAGUCGAGAAUCUUCGGCAAUGGGCGCAAGCCUGACCGAGCGACGCCGCGUGGAGGACGAAGGCCUUCGGGUUGUAACUCCUGUCGAGGGGGAGAAGGGGUGUCAAACCCUUGACUGAUCCCUGGAGGAAGCACGGGCUAAGUUCGCGCCAGCAGCCGC